AAUUGAGGGGGGCCCCGGGUGGAGCAUGUGGUUUAAUUGGAAGAACGCGAAAAACCUUCCCCGGUCUUGACAUCCGAAAUCCCCAGAGAAGGGGUUCUCCUUUGGGAGCAGAAUCACAGGUGGCACAUGGUUGUUGUCAGCUCGUGUUGAGAGAUUUUGGGUUAAGUCCCCAAAACGAGGCACCCCCCUUUUUUUUUUCCCAUCAUUAAGUUGGGCAUUUUAAGGUGACUGCCGGUGACAAACCGGAGGAAGGUGGGGAAGACGUCAAAUCAUCAUGGCCCUUAUGACCUGGGGUACACACCGUACAAAUGGUCGGUACAAAGGUGCAAGACCGCGAGGUGGAGCUAAUCUCAUAAAACCCUUUUCAGUUCGGGAUUUGGGUUGCAAAUUGCCUCCAGGAAGUGGGAAUCGUUGUUAUUCCGGGAUCACAAGCCGCGGGGAAAUACUUCCGCCCUGUACACACCGCCCCGCCCCCGAGAGUUUGUAACACCCAAGUCGGUGGGGUAACCUUUUAGAGCCCGCCGCCAAGGUG
This 532-nucleotide ribosomal RNA is filed under the name Bacillus sp. (in: firmicutes). RNAcentral's name for it is "Bacillus sp. (in: Bacteria) partial 16S ribosomal RNA". It matches the Rfam family "Bacterial small subunit ribosomal RNA", at positions 908 to 1464 of the family's 1533-position model. Lineage: Bacteria; Bacillati; Bacillota; Bacilli; Caryophanales; Bacillaceae. The record is from RNAcentral.